AGUGAACGCUGGCGGUAGGCCUAACACAUGCAAGUCGAACGGCAGCACAGUAAGAGCUUGCUCUUACGGGUGGCGAGUGGCGGACGGGUGAGGAAUACAUCGGAAUCUACUUUUUCGUGGGGGAUAACGUAGGGAAACUUACGCUAAUACCGCAUACGACCUACGGGUGAAAGCAGGGGAUCUUCGGACCUUGCGCGAUUGAAUGAGCCGAUGUCGGAUUAGCUAGUUGGCGGGGUAAAGGCCCACCAAGGCGACGAUCCGUAGCUGGUCUGAGAGGAUGAUCAGCCAAAAUGGAAAUGAGACAAGGUCCAGACUCCUACGGGAGGCAGCAGUGGGGAAUAUUGGACAAUGGGCGCAAGCCUGAUCCAGCCAUACCGCGUGGGUGAAGAAGGCCUUCGGGUUGUAAAGCCCUUUUGUUGGGAAAGAAAAGCAGCAGGUUAAUACCCCGCUGUUCUGACGGUACCCAAAGAAUAAGCACCGGCUAACUUCGUG
RNAcentral lists this ribosomal RNA (492 nucleotides) under uncultured bacterium. Its description in RNAcentral is "partial 16S ribosomal RNA". It matches the Rfam family "Bacterial small subunit ribosomal RNA", at positions 29 to 507 of the family's 1533-position model. The record is from RNAcentral.